GACGAACGCUGGCGGCGUGCUUAACACAUGCAAGUCGAACGGUGAAGCUCCAGCUUGCUGGAUUGGAUCAGUGGCGAACGGGUGAGUAACACGUGAGCAACCUGCCCCUGACUCUGGAAUAAGCCCUGGAAACGGCGUCUAAUACUGGAUACGAGAAUGGUCCGCAUGUGCACUUUCUGGAAAGUUUUUCGGUUGGGGAUGGGCUCGCGGCCUAUCAGCUUGUUGGUGAGGUAAUGGCUCACCAAGGCGACGACGGGUAGCCGGCCUGAGAGGGCGACCGGCCACACGGGGACUGAGACACGGAGCAGAAUGCUACGGGAGGCAGCAGUGGGGAAUAUUGCAGAAUGGGCGAAAGCCUGAUGCAGAGACGCCGCGUGAGGGAUGACGGCCUUCGGGUUGUAAACAUCUUUCAGCAGGGAAGAAGCGAAAGUGACGGUACCUGCAGAAGAAGCACCGGCUAACUACGUG
This 468-nucleotide ribosomal RNA is filed under the name uncultured bacterium. RNAcentral describes it as "partial 16S ribosomal RNA". It matches the Rfam family "Bacterial small subunit ribosomal RNA", at positions 28 to 507 of the family's 1533-position model. The record is from RNAcentral.